This 497-nucleotide ribosomal RNA is filed under the name uncultured bacterium. RNAcentral describes it as "partial 16S ribosomal RNA". It matches the Rfam family "Bacterial small subunit ribosomal RNA", at positions 28 to 507 of the family's 1533-position model. The record is from RNAcentral.
GAUGAACGCUGGCGGCGUGCCUAAUACAUGCAAGUCGAGCGAACAGACGAGGAGCUUGCUCCUCUGACGUUAGCGGCGGACGGGUGAGUAACACGUGGAUAACCUACCUAUAAGACUGGGAUAACUUCGGGAAACCGGAGCUAAUACCGGAUAAUAUAUUGAAGCGCAUGGUUCAAUAGUGAAAGACGGUUUUGCUGUCACUUAUAGAUGGAUCCGCGCCGCAUUAGCUAGUUGGUAAGGUAACGGCUUACCAAGGCAACGAUGCGUAGCCGACCUGAGAGGGUGAUCGGCCACACUGGAACUGAGACACGGUCCAGACUCCUACGGGAGGCAGCAGUAGGGAAUCUUCCGCAAUGGGCGAAAGCUUGACGGAGCAACGCCGCGUGAGUGAUGAAGGUCUUCGGAUCGUAAAACUCUGUUAUUAGGGAAGAACAAAUGUGUAAGUAACUAUGCACGUCUUGACGGUACCUAAUCAGAAAGCCACGGCUAACUACGUG